GACGAACGCUGGCGGCGUGCCUAAUACAUGCAAGUAGGACGCAGUUGCGAACGGGUGAGUAACGCGUAGGUUAUUACCUAUUAGAGGGGGAUAACUAUUGGAAACGAUAGCUAAUACCGCAUACUAGCAGAUUGACCUGCGUUGUAUUAGCUAGUAGGUAGGGUAAUGGCCUGUCUAGGCAACGAUACAUAUCCGACCUGGGUGGGUGAUCGGCCACCCUGGGACGGGGAAACGGCCCAGACUCCUACGGGAGGCAGCAGUAGGGAAUCUUCGGCAAGGGGGGGAACCCUGACCGAGCAACGCCGCGUGAGUGAAGAAGGUUUUCGGAUCGUAAAGCUCUGUUGUUAAGGAAGCGGUACUUAACCAGAAAGGGACGGCUAACUACGUGCCAGCAGCCGCGGUAAUUC
RNAcentral lists this ribosomal RNA (407 nucleotides) under uncultured bacterium. RNAcentral describes it as "partial 16S ribosomal RNA". It matches the Rfam family "Bacterial small subunit ribosomal RNA", at positions 28 to 526 of the family's 1533-position model. The record is from RNAcentral.